AAAGUCACAAAUAACUAUAAAAUACCUUCCUACCUAUUUGGUAAAAAUGACUAGCUUAGCUAUGCAAGUACUACAGCUGAUUUUACGAGAUACAUAGUAUAUUGCCAGCAAGUCUGAGGGCAAGACACAGAUUUUAGUAAGUAAUAUUGUUGACAUUCAUUUAAAAAAAAAAAAAAAAAAACCAACCAACCACCAUGCUCUCCUCACCCCAUCCAAAAAAAAAAAAAAAGAUUAGAUACAAAACUGUAGACCAGUAGAUUAGGGUAAGUGCCUUGUGUGACAAACUAAGCAUAUAAUCAUAUGCUUUACUACUAAAGCAAAACCAGCACAGAAAUUAAUACUACGGGGAAUAUAUUUGGAGUUAGACCUUAAAACUAUGAUAUAAUGUUUCCACAACACUCACACAAUACCCUUCCAAAAUAAAACCCCACCACAACUCCAGCCUUUCAAAGUCCUUCAUAAGAUUUAGAGUUUCCAAACUGAAUGGAAAACUCUUACACGCAUGCAACAUUUUACACUGAUUUUAAGUCUUAAACUGUUACGUGAUACAAUUAAAAGAAUCAGCCUACAUGCUUACAUAGAACUCUAGAUAAAUUACUUGAAGCUAGAUUUUCAAAGCCUCAGAUAGUGUAAUUAAACUAUUGAUACUCACCCUUUCUUGCUUUUUCUAUUGAUUUUAGUUUUUCCUUUGCUUGAUAAACAGCUGUUGCCUAGUAUCUUAAAGAAAAAUUAUUCUUCAAUUGCUUCAUUAAUUGUAACCUUGAGCUCAGUUAAAGAGGCCCUGUGAAUUUGUCCACUUAUCUAUUAAAAAUUGCCUCUAAAAUAAAGAUCAGAUCAACAUCUUAUUAUUACGUGAUGUUUUCAAAGUAUAACCAGUGUUUAAAUAACUUAUAUGCAAGCACAUAGCACAGUAAUGCCUCUAGAAUGUCAGAUAAAUUAAAUAGCUACCAUCCUCUCUCAGUUGUGAUGCACUAGAUAUCCGGGAAGGGCUCCUAUUGCUUUCACUAGUCCAAAUUGCUCAAGGGUUGCCUAUUUUUCUCAAGGUAUUAGGCCAAAAUGCGAAGUCCAAUAUUCAUCUGUUCUUUCUUAUUCUUUCCUCAUUUAAUCAGCACCCGUCUUCAGUGGUUUGAUUUUCCACACUUAACCUAUUAUUUACAAUAGGUGUUAUUUUCACUACAAAUCUUUCAAAUAGUAAAAACAGACUGGGUGGGGUAUAAAAUUAUUAUGAAGGAAGAGUAAUACAGGUUGGAUGAAAAUUACCAUUACAGCCUUUCCAAAAAGUAACUUUAACUCUGGCUACUGAAAGUGUAAUUUCCAAGCUUUCAAGAAGAAUUUAUUUCAUUUAAUCGUCUUAAACUAAAAAUUGCGUUUUUUCCAGAACUGAGUGUUAGGAACAACCACCCUUAUUUCCCUCUCAACCAGCAACUCCCAAAAGCCAACACUUCACCUAUAGACUUACCAG
Long non-coding RNA from Dermochelys coriacea (leatherback sea turtle), 1462 nucleotides. RefSeq lists it as uncharacterized. The transcript is spliced from 3 exons. The record is from RefSeq and is a predicted model, not a curated record. Lineage: Eukaryota; Metazoa; Chordata; Testudines; Dermochelyidae.